RNAcentral lists this long non-coding RNA (229 nucleotides) under Rattus norvegicus (Norway rat). Its description in RNAcentral is "long non-coding RNA NONRATT019296". The record is from RNAcentral. Lineage: Eukaryota; Metazoa; Chordata; Mammalia; Rodentia; Muridae.
CCAGGACGUGGCCACCAAUGUCAACUACAAGCAACCAAUACACCACUACACAUACCUGCCGGAUUCCUUGAGUCUUGAGCACACGAGGAAUGCCAAUCAAAUUCAGAGCGAUAAUGUGUACAAAGACGAGUACAACAGCUUCUUCAAGGGCAUCGGGUGGAUCCCCAUCGGCUCGCUGGAGGUGGAGAAGGCCAAGAAAGCAGGCGAUGCUCUGAACGAGAGGAAGUAC